Molecule: non-coding RNA, 78 nt
Organism: Marchantia polymorpha subsp. polymorpha
Lineage: Eukaryota; Viridiplantae; Streptophyta; Marchantiopsida; Marchantiales; Marchantiaceae
Source: Rfam
GAGAGCCGUAUGAGCGGUAACGUUCAAGUAUGGUUCUUUCAGAAGGGUUGGGGACGGAAAUGGCCCCAUAAACUUUAC